RNAcentral lists this ribosomal RNA (254 nucleotides) under uncultured bacterium. RNAcentral describes it as "partial 16S ribosomal RNA". It matches the Rfam family "Bacterial small subunit ribosomal RNA", at positions 524 to 776 of the family's 1533-position model. The record is from RNAcentral.
UACGGGGGGAGCAAGCGUUGUUCGGAUUUACUGGGCGUAAAGGGCGCGUAGGCGGCCAGCACAAGUCAGUUGUGAAAUCUCCGAGCUUAACUCGGAACGGUCAACUGAUACUGUGCGGCUAGAGUGCGGAAGGGGCAACUGGAAUUCUUGGUGUAGCGGCGAAAUGCGUAGAUAUCAAGAGGAACACCUGCGGCGAAGGCGGGUUGCUGGGCCGACACUGACGCUGAUGCGCGAAAGCCAGGGGAGCGAACGGG